GGGCAAGACAGGUGAAGUUAGCUAACCGGAGCCGGUUAGCUAACUUCACUCCCCCUUAUUCGCACGAGUGCUCAACGGGCGUUUGCGAAGCU
This is a non-coding RNA of Paraburkholderia caribensis, 92 nucleotides long. NCBI's taxonomy places the organism in Bacteria, Pseudomonadati, Pseudomonadota, Betaproteobacteria, Burkholderiales, Burkholderiaceae. The record is from Rfam.